RNA transcript from Cucumis sativus (cucumber), 5913 nucleotides. It is a transcript of the gene named L10-interacting MYB domain-containing protein, with no coding region annotated. The transcript is spliced from 3 exons. Lineage: Eukaryota; Viridiplantae; Streptophyta; Magnoliopsida; Cucurbitales; Cucurbitaceae. The record is from RefSeq and is a predicted model, not a curated record.
UUGGACGUAAAAGAUGACUUUUCUUUGUGGAAAUUAUGAGAGGAACCUCUCUCCCACAAUCCUAAAUCAUCAUCAACUAAUUAAUAUCCUUCUGAGCUCCUCCCUCUUCCUCCUCCCUUCUCCUCCUCCUCCUCCUCCUCCUCCUUCUCCUUCUCCUCCAUUAUAUAAUUGUAUAAAUGCUCAAUAAAUAAUGAUAUGGCCAUGGGUGUCUUCACUGUGUUGCAGGAAGAGAGUCUUCUCUCUUGAUCCAUCGAUCCCCCAAUGUGUUUCUGUUACAUUGUUUGUGAUUAUUAUGGUUACUAUAUAAUUUGAUCACAGGCCGGUGAUGAUCAUGAUUGAUAUUAUUUCAUGUAUUUGCCAACAUCGUUUGAUCAUUUAUCAUGAUAAUUUGACAAACUCUUUGUGAUCUGAGGCCUCAUUUUUCGUUUUCAUUUCAUCUCAUAAUAUAUAUUCAAAUAUUUAUUUUAUUUAAUUAUAUUGUUUUUAUUUAUUUUAUUAUUCAUUAGAAUCAACACUCUACUUGAAGAAGAAAAAAAUUAAAACAUCAAAUACUCUCUGUCUCUUUCUCACCGACAAUUCUACAAAAGAAAAACAGUUCUCUGUAAAUCCUUUUCCCUCUCAAUUUCCUUAUCUUUGUAGUCAUAGCAAGGAAAAGUGUUUUUGGAAGCGUUCUCUCAAGAAGGUCGAGUUCAAUAAGUUGGAGGAACUGGAUGUACUGCUAUGGAUGAAAUGAUCAGGUUCAGCAGAGGUAUCUUUUCCUUCUCUUUCAUUUAUAAAUUAGGAUGAUCGAUUUUUCUAUAUCUAAUUGAAGGAUGAUACUAUCUAUCACCCGGAUAGAGCAACGAGAUUCAAGAAGGUGUUGGAAAUGGCUCGUGGACUUAAGCUCAUAAGCAAAGUUGUGAGAUUUAAAAGAUGUGAGAGGGUAUAUACUAAAGAAAGUUGAGAGACAAAAGUGCGUGGGUGAUGAUGGAAUAGAAUAACCCUGUCACCACAUGUGUGCUCUGCCGCAGCAGUCUGUUCGGAUGGGUUUGAGCCAAAAAGAGGUAAUUUUUGUUAACUAAAUUUGGACUCUGCCCUAUCUAUUGACAUCAUCUUAGCCAUUUUCUGGACAUUGUAAUUGGCAGUGGUUCAUCCACCAAUAGACCGUAGUUGAUAGUGGUUCAUCACAAACACCACAAUGUAUUUUGUUCAACAUUUUGAUCUUAUAUAUUUUUCAACAAAUUGAGACUUUUAAUUCGUUGUCAAAGAGAGAUGCCCAUGACAUUGUUGGUUCUUCAUCGGAGCUACUUGUGAUCAUGGUUGAUUCAUCAAGUCUCCUUCGUGACAAUUAUCGCGUCGUGAUUGAAGAUUGAAGAAGGAAGAAGUAUGAAGAAGGUGAAGAGAAGAUAAUUCUUUAUUAUUAAUAAACAGAUAUAUAAAUGACACUGUUUGAUCUUUAACUCUCCUCCCUAAUAAUAUUCUUCAAUCUAUUUUAGCAAACUCAAUUAUCAACUACAUGUUUUGUCACAGCACCAAGUUCUUAGUUUUACUUUUGUAGCCAUAUGUAUCACAAUUUAAUUCCAAUCUUGAUCUGUUUGGAAAUAAUUUAGUAGAUAUUUUACAUAUAUCCAAGUUCAUGACACAAAUAAUCUAACUAGUCUACUCUCUCCAUCUCCGUCCCCACCCAGUCGAAUCCAACUAAAAAAAUAUCUCUAUAAACAAAAAUGAACACGAUUCAAUUCACAUGAAAAUUGUACUAUCGUCCUAACUACAAUCAAAUUUUAUUAAGCUUUUUUUUUGUUAAUUAAUAGGUUGUUAAUAAGUUGUUAUUUGUCCAUUAUUAUAAAUACAUUUUUCAAAUGUAAUCUUAACUAAUUAACGAGAAUAGUCGGAUUGUCUCAUGUAAUUAGUUGAGAUGUUAGUCUACGCAUAUAAAACUAAUGAGAAUAUUCUUUUAUAAUAUAGAAUAUUUUAAAAGUAAUAAAAUAUCAAAAUUGGUUUUUUCUAUUUAUAACAAUCCCGUUUUAAAAAAUAAAUAAUGGGGGAAUCGAAAUCUCUGGAGAAUCCUAAAGAGUAGAGAGGAGCGGGUCAUUCUCGUAUUUUCCUACAAUGUUGUGGACAAACCCUAAUCUCCUCCACUAUAUAACUAAUCAAUCACACACAGCCUUCAUUCCUCAAACUCUUUUCUCUUCCAAUCCUCUUCUUCUUCUUCCUUUAUGCUUUUCAUUUUGUAUUUUCUAGCGAGUGAAGUAGAUCGCCGUGACGACUCAGUAAAAUUCAAGCUCAACAGACCGGAUUGCAGAGUAAUUUCCUCUUUCUUCCUUGAAUGAGUGAAACGUCUUUGCAUGUCGACUACCCCGCUGAACUGAGCCAUCUCUUCACUCGCCAUUUUUCUCCAUUCUGUUUGUUUUCAUUUCUAUUUAUUUUUGCUGAAUCAGGCCGGUGAUGAUUGAUAUUUUGAUUUGCCUACAUUGUCUGAUAAUUUUAUGACUGAGAACACUCUGUCUGAGGCCUGAAUCUGCUUUCAGUUCUUGCUCUGAUUCUUCAUUUUCUGAUGAUUUCCAUCCGUUUUCCAACGCGCUUUAAUUUCAUUCCGAUUUUCUGUUUCUUGAUUUAAAUGAUGAAUUUUCGAAAUGAAGCAAAAGCAUAGUCUCGUAUUCUUGGCUAACUUUAUUUCGAUUUCCUAUAAUCUCAUUUUCAUUAAAAAAAAAUCAACUGUGUUCUUGAUUUACUUUUCACUGAUGAAAUUUUCAUUUCGAUUCUUUUAGUGAUACAAUUAUCGAAAGAAAAAUUAAUCAUAGCCGCUGGAUUUGGAUUCAUAGUUAUGUAUACAACCCACAGAUAUCAUAGAAUUUCAACUGAUUUGCAAAACUUUAUGUGCUUUAGCUGUGUUAUUGAUUUUCUUCGCUGAUAGAAUUUCAUUCAGAUCACUGUUUUAGGAACUGAUAAAAUACAGGUUUAAACGUUGUCAUUCUUCAUCCUUGUUUUUUUUUGGUCUCUGAUCUUUUGAUCAAUGAAUAUUGGAUAACUAAUUUGAGGCUUUACGGUUGUAACCUUUAUUUUUUAUGAAUCUUCGUUUAUUUGUCAAUCAGCUGAGAUUUUUAUCCAAACUUCAAAUGAAUGUUGCUUCAUUACUGGAUUAACCAGAGUAAUAUUGCAAUUUUAAAAACAAUUUCAAGAAUCUUACCAAGUUCUAAGCUCUAAUUAAUGAUUGAUGCCUCAUUUGAUGAUAUUGUGCAUCUGCGUCCAUGGAGAGUUUAAUAUCCCAUUGAAGUCGUCACUGCUCGGUGUUUGGUGUUCAGAUUCUUGAAAUUGAGAAGGAUGCUUGUGUUUAUAUUGUUAACUCAUCUCUCCUCCAUUAAAAAUGUAAAUAAAGAAAUUGUUGGUGAAAGCAUACACACUAUAUUAGAGACAUUGAAAUGGCAGUCGAUUAGUCAUCCAGUUGGUAUGAUUCGAUUAACAAAAGAGAAGAGAACAAGGGAUAGAAUAUUUUUUCUUUUUAUUGAAGAUUUUAUAGUAUAGGAUUAGGGGUUAUUCUCUUUAUGUAAUCUAUAUAUUUGACUGAAAUAAUACCAAUUCCAACCUCAUUGAAUUGUAAAACUUAAUCACUAAAAUAAGUAUGUAUGAUAUGAUUUUCAACAAUUAAAAAAAUAGGGUAACAAGGUAAGGUUUGAAUUAUGAUUGGUUUUUUGUUUUUCAAGGCUUAACUCGGAUUUUGUAAACUGCACAGUAAGUGGAUAAUAAAACUUGAGAAACCCAUGGGAUGCAGAUGCAGUAAUACAAAAUCCUUCUUUUUAGAAAUAAGAAGUCAAUUGCUAUCAAUAUUGUAUUUGGCAAAUGUCUAAAGCUUAGGAAAUUUGUUGAACAAAACUCAAUCAAUUCUGAACAAACAAAAACGUUUUCUGCUUCCUACUUUUCGUUUUCUGCUUUUUGUUUUCUGUUUCAGGUUUCUUGUUUUUCUUUUUUUUUUUUCUGUUUCUCGUUUUAUUUUAUUUUUUUGUUUCUUGUUUCUGUUUUCAGCUACCUGUUUCCUGUUUUUUGCUUUAGGUUCUCUUCUUGUAGUUCAAAUAUUUCUCUAUUUUUCAAAAAAAAAAAAUCUUAGGUAUAGCCACAAUGGUUGAAAUUAAGAUUAGGGAAGAUUUAAAUAAUUUGUUUUGCAACGAUAAAAAAAAAUAAGAUUUGAAAAUGGUAGAAAUUUAAUCAAAGAUAAAAUUAAGAUUUUAUUGGAUCGAGUUUUAAAAAUGCGUUACUUUUGAAAAAAAGUAAAACAAUGUGCUAUUUUUAUUUAUUAAAAAUGUGUAACUUUUGUCAAUUUUCUAAACUUAUACAUAUAAGGAUUUUCAGAGUAUUGGUAUAUAUAUAUGAAUAAAUAAGUAUUGGAAUAUGGGAGUAUUUUUCAUAAACUAUUAAUAGUAGAUCAUAUUAUGAAAGAAUGGUACAAAUAUUCCUCGAUAGAUUUAGUUAUAUUUACACUAUAAUAAUAAAGGUGAUAGACUUGCAUGUUUGAUAGAAUUUGACAAAUUUUUUAAAAUGUUGUUAUAAAGUUAAUUAUUUUAAAUUUAACCGUUAAAUUUACAUCUAUACCUAAAUUCAUUUUACCAAUAUGGGCCUCACAAAAUGUCUCAUCUCUACAGCUGGGUCCCACCAACAACCGGUUCAAUCCGGGUCAGACCGUUUUUAACAACCACCGACCAAACUAAUUUAAAAUAACGAAGUAAACAAACCAAAAUCCAAAGAAGAGAAAGAAGAAAAAAGAUUGAAAACCGGUCCAAGUCAGUUGGUUCAUCUUGGUUUCUCAAAAUUUCCAUUAUUAUAAAUUUAAGAAAUAGAAAGCGAGAGAGAGAGAGGGGUGUGGAGCCAAAAUCAUAAUGGAAAGUGCUUUUAGUAAAACAAACCACUUUUACGUUUUGCUUUAUAAAAGGUUUAUAAGGUUAGAAUUCGGAAGCACUUUCCGUCCAACUGCUUGACUGGAAAGCACAUUACAAAAAAAACUGUUAUACCAAACGUCCAUCCCCCAUUCUAAUUUGAUGCUUCCUCCUCCUCCAUUCUCUUCCGCCCUAAUUGGUCACUUCUUCUUCUUCUUCUUCUUCCUUUAAUUGCUUUAAAUCAAAUCUAUCACUGCCUUCCUCUACUUUGCCUUCACCUACACCAUUGUUGACUCUCUCUUAAGAUCUUACCUAGCUGCUUCCACAUGAAGUUAUGGCUAUUGUGGUGAUGGUGGUGAUGAUGAUGGUGGUGGUGAAAGAUUACACCAAGUUUGUUUUUGAGUUGCUUGAAUCGUCCUACUCUUUGUUUCGACUCUUUCUUCCCAUGCUUGGUAUUGAAUGUUUUCAUCGAAUAUGUGCUACUUGAUUUUGAAUCUGUUGUUGAGGAAUCGUCUUGGUGACUUGGGGAAGAAGAGUCGUAGUCAUCAUUGUCAACGGUUUCACUUUCUGUGUUUUGUUGUGUUGUCCAACUUGAAGAAGAAGAAAAGGCUGAUUCAAACUCAGAGUUCGAGGAUUCUGAUUCUUGUUGUGGAGGCCUGAAGGUGGCGGCCUUGGAUCCUACUGAAGUACAUCCAGAUUUAGUCAUUGGAUUUACAACUUUGUGUUGAUUAGGUAUUACAUGGGUUUCAAUGAUUGGAGGUUUCAUUAUGGUCUCAUCAUUUCCUUGACUCCGAGGUAUUCUGAAACCAUGAACGAACUCGGAACUAUGCUGCGUCUCUAUUGGAUUAACUGGCUUAGUAAACCCUGUCCUUAAAGUUGAGUGAUCUGUUUUUGAGUGAACUUUCUGUUGGUUUAAUGUCUCAUUCCUAUGAAGAACACACUGGCAAUUGCCUCUUGUUUUCCUACUUUGGCUUGUGCAAUGUUGUAGGGACAAAAUGUGGAGUUCAAUUCUUCUGAGUGCUGAAAUAAUACCAUGAGGUAAAUCAUUAAAAGCAGUAUUUGAAGCUGA